GAACUUAGAAAAUUGUCUAAGCGACAUUACUUGUUCAGACUUGACUGUAACUAAAUGUUGUGAUCAAUAUUGUGCAAUAUACGUGCAGAAGAUUCACAAUUUCCUUUUAUAAUUUUUUUAGCCCAGAACUCACACAUUAUUGUUUUCAUGUCUUCUUUCAUCAGUCAGUGUAUUUAUUAUCCCUACAAUUGUCUAGCUGUCAGGUCUCCCAGAAACCCUCUAAAACCAACGAUGCUGUAAAACCAGCACAUAUUGGAAGGCACUUUUUUUUUCCAGCAGGGAAUAUAAACAUUCAGUUUCAGAGGGAGGGCAUUUAAACGGAGAUAGAUGCAAACUCUGCCCACAUCGACGGCGGCCGUUUAUGGAGGGUGCUGAACAAAAGGACUUCAAAGAGAACACUUUUACAAUGAAGAACCGAUUUAGGGCUCUCAGUGUUAUUCUGCCCGAUAACACAGAACUGAGUAUGACUGUCGGGUUUGAAGACCGAGGUCAAGACGUGUUAAAACAGCUGUGCGAGUUUCUCGACUCUUCAAGGCUUCCCCUCUUUGGUCUGAGUGUGGUAAAGGACGAUCAACCCCUGUUCUUGGAUCUGGAGCAAAAAUUGUCAUUGUACCUUCCGAAGUCCUGGAGAAAGAAUACAUCAAAGGAGAGAGUGACGCUCUCCCUGAAAGUGCAGUAUUUUAUAAAAAACGUCGAAGUAAUUUUAGACAGUGAAGCCCGUAAGCUGUAUUAUGCUGAGCUGAAGGGGAAGGUUUUGAGAUCUGAGUGCUUCGAGCAAGAAGGACUGUACUUCCAGCUGGCCGCCUACGGCCUGCAAGCCGAUCUCGGAGAUUACAAAGAACAUAACUUUGCAUACUUCAGCGCGCAGGGAUUUUUUCCUUUUUGGAUAGUUCAGAAGCACGGGAAUGAUUAUAUUCUGAAGCACACCCCAGCCCUGCACAGAGAGCUUAAGGGAAUGUCGUCCAGUGAGGCUGCCUUGCUUUUCAUUCAGGAAUCGUUUACUUUGAGUGAUGUGCCUCUCACCAUCUACAGAUUGACCAAAGAAAAGAAUAAACGACAGGGUUGCGUCCUCAUUGGGGUGGCAUCCACAGGACUGCAGAUCUCUGAGGUACUGAAUGGACAACAGCAGUCUGUGUGUGAUUUGCCAUGGCCCUCCAUUCAUUCCAUUACUUUUCAGGGCAGAAAGUUUGAAAUUCGUGCCGAUGGGUUGCACGAGAAAAAGCUGGUGCUCUAUAGUCUGUCUGUCCUUCACGCCAAAAACCUGCUGAAGCACAUAAGCAGCAGUCACCAACUGCAUCUCAGCAUGAAGCCCUUGGUCACGAGGCUCAGGGGAAAAAAAGGGAGACACAGAGAGAUGUACAUCACAGAUGGAGCUGAUCUGAACACAUACGACAGUGACGAUGAGCUUCCGCCGAUGAAGCUCCUCUUAGACAGGGUCCAAAAGCAAACCACCGGCUCCUCUGAAUGUAGAAACGUCACAGGUAGUGAUGCUUCAAAUGGCUUUUGCUGUUUGGAGAUGAGUGUUGAUGAGCCCGAAGAAAUGUCUGUAGAUGAUCCUGAAGAUGUCCUGCGUUUAAUUGAGCUGGUGGAGGGUGUAUCUGUGGAUGGUCCUUUAUUUUUGCCAAUUUCUCAUUGAAAAUAUGACAAUAAGAAAGUUUGGGGUCAGCAAGACAUGCAUAAAAUACACACAGUAGGUAUGAAACUGGAGGCGAAAAACAAGCCAUGGAGGGCAGACUGCUUUGGAAUGCGCAUGCUUCGAAAUGAACUAGGACUAUGAAGCCUUUUAAAAUGCAUCUGCACAUUAUGUCCCUAAAUAUGCCACAUGGAAAAUUGUUUGCAAAGCACACUGAAGCGUGUGAGCUGUGGAACAAGCUAUGGAAGUAUUGCAAAAUAAUACUGGUAAAACCAAGUAAAUAGAUCACGAUGAGAUGGAAAUGAUGUUGUGUUGACUCAGGCUGGUUAAUAUGAGUCAUAUGUAGUAUGCCCCAUUCAGGAAAGAAGGCGUGGCUAGGCAUUGACAAGGUAGGCUGUCUUUAAGUGGUCUUUUUCACAUCAUGCAUUCUUUUGUACUGGUGAGUUUGCCUAUCUUUCUUUGCAUGCUGUAUUCAUCAGUUAUUUUUUUUAACACCCAAAGGGCUUGUCAUGUAUGUUAAUGUAGGUUUUUUAAGUUAGUUUUUUUUUAAUGUAAAUUGUAAUAUAGUACUGUUGUUCAUUUUAAGAUGAAAGCUAUGAUUAAAUCUUCAUAUGAAUAUAUAUAUAUACGGAAAUGAUUCUUUGCACAUGUAAGAGUCGGUUGAUGUCGAGCCAGUGAUGUAACAGAUAAUAGAUAAUUAAAUAGUGAUCCGUGCCAGUAAUUUUAAAAGACCUUUAGUUUAAGUUUGACUUGCAGAAAAACACGCGUUGUCUGGUCGAAUCUUGGAGCAGAGCCUUUUAAGUACGAUUUUAGAUUUCAUAUUUUGUUUCCGGGUAUGAAUAUUGGCGCUUAAAUGUAUAAAAAGGUAUCACUUUCUUUUUUCUGGUAAUGCUGUGGUUACAGCAGAUGUGGAAAUAGUCUUCACACUCAAGUCGGUAGCGAAACUUUGCAGUUGGAUGUAGAACAAUAUCAAUCAAACCCACUGUUCAUGAAAAUGCUGCACCUUGAGAAGGAUUAAAUCUUACACUUUUUGUCAUUGCUUGCAAAUGUUCUUCCAUGAAAGAGAGGGGAGGAGCGGGCAGCAGCUCAUUAUCAUUUAAGACAUUGCACCGAAACAAGACAGAGCUGUGAAGACUCUAAAGAAUCAUACCGACUUGUCCCCUUUAAAAGACUCCGCAAAAUCAGACUGAGAUCAGUCAAGUUAAUUGCAGAUUUAAAACCACCAAGAAGCAGUUUAAUGGACAUAGACGGUAAUAGAUAUGAUACCGUUUUUGAAAUAAAAUCUUUUCAUAGCUAUGAAACACCGACAUUCAACAGUGCAUGGGAUCUUAAAAAAUUAAAGCUUACAUAAAGCCAAAUAAAUAAAACAGUUAAGAAAUAAGAAUGUGUUUUAUUUUGCGUCUAAAAUCCUGAAACAUCGUUGUCUCAAAUUUUAGAGCAGUCGGUGCAUUUAGGGAAAGAAUUCAAUUGCGUGUGUGUGUAUAUAAAAUGACUAUUUACUCACCAAUUGCACAACGGAAGCUAAAAUUUUGAUUGACCUCUUCUCGCAGACAGUCCUAAAAAGUUCCUUUUCCUGCUACGUGAUGUUGAUCGUUUCAUUACCUUUAGAAUGUAAUCCAUGUUGAUUAAAUCAGUAAUUUGAGUUGACUCGAACACAAUUCUGAAUUCGGAAUCAUUGAAACAUCGUGAGCAUGAUAGAAAAAAAUUAAUAAAUCAGUGUGUUAGUGUAACUGUGGUGCAUCUCUCUCUCCUUUAUGUGUUCAUGAUGUUAAUUAACGUUUUAUUUUUUGGUAAUUCAAGUGACUCGCAAGGUCUCUCUCCAUUUCUGUGUUCUUUGAACUCAAACUUGCAUAUAAUUCACAGUACUUUACAAUUUUAUAUAUAUAUAUAUAUAUAU
This is an RNA transcript of Puntigrus tetrazona (Sumatra barb), 3530 nucleotides long. It is a transcript of the gene named FERM domain-containing protein 6, with no coding region annotated. The transcript has 12 exons. The record is from RefSeq and is a predicted model, not a curated record. NCBI's taxonomy places the organism in Eukaryota, Metazoa, Chordata, Actinopteri, Cypriniformes, Cyprinidae.